GCAAACUUGGUCAUUUAGAGGAAGUAAAAGUCGUAACAAGGUUUCCGUAGGUGAACCUGCGGAAGGAUCAUUAACGAAUCUUCAAAGUCGGCCCUUUCAGUGCUGGUGGUGACACAUGUGCACGUUUGGGUCGCAAAUCCACACACCUGUGCAUACCAGACUCUGAGUGUCCAACCCUUGUUUUUGGGAGUUUGACUUUGGUCAAACUGGCGCUCGAGUAUUUUUCACACACUCUGAAUGUAAAGGAAUGUAUAUUUUGCAUAACCUGCAAACAAAACAACUUUCAACAACGGAUCUCUUGGCUCUCGCAUCGAUGAAGAACGCAGC
This 327-nucleotide unclassified non-coding RNA is filed under the name uncultured fungus. Its description in RNAcentral is "partial contains small subunit ribosomal RNA, internal transcribed spacer 1, and 5.8S ribosomal RNA". The stretch from base 1 to 73 matches the Rfam family "Eukaryotic small subunit ribosomal RNA", at positions 1759 to 1831 of the family's 1831-position model. Lineage: Eukaryota; Fungi. The record is from RNAcentral.